RNAcentral lists this ribosomal RNA (518 nucleotides) under uncultured bacterium. RNAcentral's name for it is "bacterial SSU rRNA". It matches the Rfam family "Bacterial small subunit ribosomal RNA", at positions 8 to 518 of the family's 1533-position model. The record is from RNAcentral.
AGGGUUCGAUUCUGGCUCAGGAUGAACGCUAGCGACAGGCUUAACACAUGCAAGUCGAGGGGCAGCAUAAAAGUAGCAAUACUUGGUGGCGACCGGCGCACGGGUGAGUAACGCGUAUGCAACCUACCUAUCAGAGGGGAAUAACCCGGCGAAAGUCGGACUAAUACCGCAUAAAACAGGGGCACCGCAUGGUGAUAUUUGUUAAAGAAAUUCGCUGAUAGAUGGGCAUGCGUUCCAUUAGGUAGUUGGUGAGGUAACGGCUCACCAAGCCGACGAUGGAUAGGGGAACUGAGAGGUUGGUCCCCCACACUGGUACUGAGACACGGACCAGACUCCUACGGGAGGCAGCAGUGAGGAAUAUUGGUCAAUGGGCGAGAGCCUGAACCAGCCAAGUCGCGUGAAGGGAAGAAGGAUCUAUGGUUCGUAAACUUCUUUUGCAGGGGAAUAAAGUGCAGGACGUGUCCUGUUUUGUAUGUACCCUGAGAAUAAGGAUCGGCUAACUCCGUGCCAGCAGCGGC